This 254-nucleotide ribosomal RNA is filed under the name uncultured Scutellospora. RNAcentral describes it as "partial 18S ribosomal RNA". It matches the Rfam family "Eukaryotic small subunit ribosomal RNA", at positions 624 to 886 of the family's 1831-position model. Lineage: Eukaryota; Fungi; Glomeromycota; Glomeromycetes; Diversisporales; Gigasporaceae. The record is from RNAcentral.
AAGCUCGUAGUUGAAUUUCGGGGUUCUACCGUUGGUCGGGCUUUGUCUGUACUGGCGUGUAGAAUUUCUACCUUCUGGGGAACUAUCAUGUUAUUAAUUUAACGUGGUGGGAAACCAGGACCUUUACCUUGAAAAAAUUAGAGUGUUCAAAGCAGGCUUAUGUCUGAAUACAUUAGCAUGGAAUAAUAGAAUAGGACGGUGGUCCUGUUUUGUUGGUUUCUGAAUCACCGUAAUGAUUAAUAGGGAUAGUUGGG